This 395-nucleotide ribosomal RNA is filed under the name uncultured bacterium. RNAcentral describes it as "partial 16S ribosomal RNA". It matches the Rfam family "Bacterial small subunit ribosomal RNA", at positions 523 to 918 of the family's 1533-position model. The record is from RNAcentral.
AUACGUAGGGUGCGAGCGUUAAUCGGAAUUACUGGGCGUAAAGCGUGCGCAGGCGGUUUUGUAAGACAGUGGUGAAAUCCCCGGGCUCAACCUAGGAACUGCCAUUGUGACUGCAAGGCUGGAGUGCGGCAGAGGGGGAUGGAAUUCCGCGUGUAGCAGUGAAAUGCGUAGAUAUGCGGAGGAACACCGAUGGCGAAGGCAAUCCCCUGGGCCUGCACUGACGCUCAUGCACGAAAGCGUGGGGAGCAAACAGGAUUAGAUACCCUGGUAGUCCACGCCCUAAACGAUGUCAACUGGUUGUUGGGAAUUUAUUUUCUCAGUAACGAAGCUAACGCGUGAAGUUGACCGCCUGGGGAGUACGGCCGCAAGGUUAAAACUCAAAGGAAUUGACGGGG